Cavia porcellus (domestic guinea pig) is the source of this 286-nucleotide unclassified non-coding RNA. It matches the Rfam family "Metazoan signal recognition particle RNA". From Rfam's summary of the family: The signal recognition particle (SRP) is a universally conserved ribonucleoprotein. Lineage: Eukaryota; Metazoa; Chordata; Mammalia; Rodentia; Caviidae. The record is from Ensembl.
GCUGGAUGUGGUGGCGGGCACCUGUAGUCCCAGACACUUGGGAGGCUGAGGUGGGAGGAUCACUUGAGUCCUGGAGCACUGGGCUGCAGUCUGCUAUGCUGAUUGGGUGUCUGCAUUAAGCUGGGCAUCAACACGGUGAUCUCCUAGGAGCAAGGGACCACCAAGUUCCCUAAGAAGGGAUGAACCAGCCCAGGUCAGAAAGGGGACAGGUCAUAAAUUGUGUUCAAAAGGGGGAGCAUUUUGAGUGGAGAUAAAUGGUAGUAUGUCUUUUACUGUGUUAAUUCUU